UUGGAAGUAAAAAGUCGUAACAAGGUCUCCGUUGGUGAACCAGCGGAGGGAUCAUUACAGAGUUAUCCAACUCCCAAACCCAUGUGAACUUAUCUCUUUGUUGCCUCGGCGCAAGCUACCCGGGACCUCGCGCCCCGGGCGGCCCGCCGGCGGACAAACCAAAACUCUUGUUAUCUUAGUUGAUUAUCUGAGUGUCUUAUUUAAUAAGUCAAAACUUUCAACAACGGAUCUCUUGGUUCUGGCAUCGAUGAAGAACGCAGCGAAAUGCGAUAAGUAAUGUGAAUUGCAGAAUUCAGUGAAUCAUCGAAUCUUUGAACGCACAUUGCGCCCAUUAGUAUUCUAGUGGGCAUGCCUGUUCGAGCGUCAUUUCAACCCCUAAGCACAGCUUAUUGUUGGGAACCUACGGCUUCGUAGUUCCUCAAAGACAUUGGCGGAGUGGCAGUGGUCCUCUGAGCGUAGUAAUCUUUUAUCUCGCUUCUGUUAGGUGCUGCCCCCCCGGCCGUAAAACCCCCAAUUUUUUCUGGUUGACCUCGGAUCAGGUAGGAAUACCCGCUGAACUUAAGCAUAUCAAUAAGCGGAGG
This 581-nucleotide ribosomal RNA is filed under the name Nigrospora sphaerica. RNAcentral's name for it is "eukaryotic LSU rRNA". The stretch from base 213 to 366 matches the Rfam family "5.8S ribosomal RNA". Lineage: Eukaryota; Fungi; Ascomycota; Sordariomycetes; Amphisphaeriales; Apiosporaceae. The record is from RNAcentral.